Molecule: long non-coding RNA, 7585 nt
Filed under: Sus scrofa (pig)
Lineage: Eukaryota; Metazoa; Chordata; Mammalia; Artiodactyla; Suidae
Description: lncRNA (ENSSSCG00055014934.1)
Source: RNAcentral
AGGCUAGGGGUCUAACCGGAGCUGUAGCCGCCGGCCUACACUACAGCCACAGUGACAUGGGAUCCAAGCUGUGCCUGUGACCUACACCACAGCUCACGGCAACGCCGGAUCCUUAACCCACCAGGCAAGGCCAGGGAUCGAACCUGCAACCUCAUGGUUCCUAGUCGGAUUCGUUAACUACUGAGCCACGAGGGGAACUCCAGUGUUGUAGUCUUGGUCAGAAGGCAGUCUGGAGGCCCAGGUCCUUCUUCUUUGGAGGUCUUCAGUCUUUUAAAACCUUCAGCUGAUGGGAGAAGGCCCCUCAAGUUAUGAAGACUAUACUGCCUUACUCAGAGUCUGCUCAUUAAAGUGGUAAUCACAUGGAAAAAUGCCUUCCCAGCACGAUUCUGAGCGAUGCUUGAUCAGACAGCUGAGCACCACAGCCUAGUCAAAUUGACACAUAAAAUUCACCAUCGCAGUCUUUAAUAAAAACCAUACUCGUGGUGCUUCUCUUGGGCAGUUGUAUCAGAAAAAUGUUGUUGGCUGUUGACAGAAUCAGAAAAUGCACGAAAUGAGAGCUGUGAGUUUCAGUUUUAUUCAGGGAACUUACUGAGGACUAUAGCCCUGGAGACAGCUUCUCACAGGACUUGCUCUAAAGGGAUGAGGGAGGAGCCAGUGCAUCUGAAUUCUUUUUGGCUGGGAAAUACAUGCAGUUAAGCCUACGUCUUGGUGAAAGAUUACUGCUAAUCACACACAGAAAGUGCUUGUCUGUACAUGAGAAGAUGCAGUCAUCUAGGGUCACUGAAUUUCUUCCUUAACUAUGUGUCUUAUUAAAGAGACCCGUCAUCCAAAACAAAGUGCUUCCUUCUGGUUUUCAUCCUGAUUUCCCUUCACAGUGUUCAGUGGCUGCAGCAGCUAAGGACUUGAUCCUUGUAGAACUGGAUGGCGGGCAAUAGUCUUUGCUUUGUAACUCCCUCCCUUUUAACCAUACAUUUGACCAAGACUUGAGAGACAUUUCAUGGCCAGUUUGUCCCCCGGCACUAAGAAGGCUCAUUCCAAGGUCAGGCAGGGAUGUCGUUGAUAGGUCAUUCUGUGUGCUCUUCUGGAUGAGGCCCUGUUAAUAACUUACAAAUUCUCCAGAUUGUCUGUUUUAUUAGUCUGUUAUAGUGCAGGAAAUAGUUUUCCUUACAGUUAAUUUUGUACAGGGCUGUGUAUGUGAUCAGUUGCCUCAAGACGUCGAGCCAUCAUUAGUGUCGAGAGAGACCUGGUAACGCAAGAAACGGUGAUCUUAGACAUGCUGUAAGUAACACAGCCAGUGACAUUAAUAAGGUCAUAAAUAGGGAUUCGAGCAUGAGCUUCCGGAACCAAACCAGCUCCUUAAAAGACCACCACAACCAGGAAGUGGAUCUCUCAAGGCAGAAAUUGCGUUUUCCAUGUGCGUUAUUAAAUGGGUUGUAUUAGAGAGUGUUCUGGUAUCGAAAGGCAGCGUUCAGUUUGAAGGCUGGCAUAGGCGCCCGCCUCCUUGAGAUGCUGCAAGAUCUUGAGGACAUGUGUUUUCUAACACUGCUCGUUCUCGUCACAGAGACCUCCGGAGUCAGUAGGCUAAGUUGGAUUCCUCUCGUUUAGGGCCUCCUGGGUGAGUUUAGUCAAGGCUCGCAUGUGGGUGAUUACAGUCCUCCUGAAGGCAUAAAAAUAGCUGCUGAAUGGUCAUACCAAUGCAGUGCACAUCCCUUAAUCCAUCAGGCUUGUAUUAAUGGUGAGUUUGCUGGAGUCAGAUCUGAAUUGGUACACAUAUGGCCUUGAGCCCAAAGGACCCCUAGGGUACAUCUUCCCAACCAUCCUGGCAGAAGCCAGGGCCACAGACUGGUUCAGCAGAGCCAUUGAGUCCCCGCAUAUUCCUGGUCACCUGAUCCAGUUUGUACUAUAGCACCUCCCCCCGCCCAGUCGCUAUCUUUAAGGGAAAUGAUAUGUUGGCAUUUCCCAUAAGCCACUCUCAGCCCGAUUUUCUAAUAUUAUUUGGCUGAUUAUCUUUGGCAUGAUUUUAAUUGUUCCCAACAUAGGCAGACUCUUAAAAGGACCAUAGCCUGGCGUUAGCCAUAUACACCCACCCCAUAACUGAGGGAAGGCCCCUUCUAAUAAUUGGAAAGUUGUGUUCUUUGACUGACGUUUAGCUCAUUGGAAAGUUGUGUUCUUUGACUGAAGUUUAGCUCAUUGCUCUCACUGAGCUUGAGUAACUUUCAAUGAGAAUUCACAUUCAUGGCCAGGGCCAGAGAAAGUAUGAUUGAUUCAGCGAGUGACGGAUUCCCAGCUAGUGGCCUUACAACUUUUUUCUUCUAAAAUAAAUUUUCUGAGGGCCAUCCACUUAGAGCCUUGGAGAUUAAGAAAUGCACCAUGGUAAACCAGAAGUACUGAAGGUAGAUAAUUGAAGAUACACACUUACUAAGUUCUGAGUAUCUUCGGUUUCUCUGUAGAAGGGAGCCUAUGUUCAGUGAUUGAUGUGUCAGUAUCUUGGGGGGAGGGGGUGAUUUAGAUAUUUAGUAAAUUUCCAUCAUUUAACCUGAUUUAGCCAAACUCUAAAGGUUCAGGUAACCAAAUAUUUGGAGAAACUGAUUUUAAAUAGACAUUCUAUAAAACCGAAUUACUCCCAAAGUGAUCCCCUAAAACCUUUUGUCUCAUUUACAUUUAAAAGUGAUCCCCUAAAACCUUUUGUCUCAUUUACAUUUAAUUUACUUAUAUUUCAUCAUACCGAGUUAUCAUCCUUGCUGACAAAUUUUGUAGCAGAAAUAGUAAGAUUUUAUGUGACUUGUAGUAAAUCUAGGUAUAAUAAAUUUUGAUACCUAAUGUUGAAGACUCUGAAGACAUGUCUAUAUUAAUUAAACAAACCUAAACUAAAUUCAGUGCUGAAUAGUAAUUUAAUACUGACUGUUUCCUAGAUCAUGUGAACCUGAAAUUCGUUUGGGUUAGUUUUGUUUCUAUUUCUGAGACUUUAUAUAAGCACUUGAUUUCCUUCAAGCCACUUAAGUGGAGUUCAUUUACAUAUUAAUUUUGGUAGUACCACUGGGAAGUAGAGACAUAUCUAUACCAUACACACAGACAUGUAAACAGAGAUCCCAUAGCUUCAUUUUAAAACUUAGUCGUGAAUCGGGUAUUAUAACAAUUGGAAUAAGCUUACUCACUUGAAUUUAAAAGGCCUCCUUUCCCUUUGGAUCCCCUCAGUCCAGGAAUUAGACAUGGUCUAGAUAAGAGUCCUGGAAGCCCUGAUAGAAAAUUUUAGAUGCAGGGAGAGAAAUGCAGGCUCGUCCUAGAAGGACUCUUGUGUUCCCUUUGGGUCAGAAUUCUGAAAAGCUGUGUCAUCAAGCUGGGCUUCUCUAACUGCUUAUGCAGAAAAGUUGUUAGUUUGUUUUGUUUUGUUUUUUUGAAUGUCAAAAAGAGCCCCGUCUUGGCCAUUUCAGGGUGGUUUUCCUUCGUUCCUAAUUAAAUAAGCACGUGCAAGUGUGGGUUCUGUAUGUAUGUAAACCCGUUGGGGAUAUUAGGGGUUAUCUGGCACCACUUUUUCUGCUGUUUGCGAGAUUCUGUUUCUCAUUUUGAAGUUGGUUUCUUGGAGUAAAAUCGCUCUAGAACACGGUGGUGGGCCAUUGUGCUGCUUGUGAGCUUACUUCUUCUAGCUGUCACUCUGCAGUUGUUCCAGCUCUUGAUAUGUCUCAGUUUCUCCUCCUGGCGGUCUAGCACUGCUGUGGGGGCUCUGAGCACCAAAUGGCCAAUUUUUAUAUGUGCAUCCCUGGAUGAAUGAGGUUUUUGUUUUGUUUUGUUCUUCUUUUUAGGGCCACACCUGCAGCGUAUGGAAGUUUCCAGGCUAAUGGUCCAUUCGUAGCUGCAGCUGCUGACACAUGCCACAGCCUCAGCAGCAUGGGAGCCGAGACACAUCUAUAACUUAUGCUGCAGCUGGUGGCAACAUCAAAUCCUUAACCCACUGAACAAGGCCAGGGGUUGAACCUGAAUCCUUAUGGAUACUAGUCAGGUUCUUAACCUGCCGAGCCACAGCAGAAACUCCUGAGUGAGUUUUAAAAGGAAUGAGUGGGUUUCCUAUGGGACUGCUGCACGGUAUGAGGACUUGCCUCCACCACUCCCCAAAAUUGCUCAGUUGCCUGAAAAAACUGUAACUGGCUGGGAGGAGCUGUGUCCCUUACUUUGGAGCUGAAACCUCUCAUGGUAUUCCAACAAAUCUUCUUAAGGUCAAUGAUUUAAGGGACGACACCAGGUCAGCCUCCUGGCUCAUCACCCAGUGUGGACCUUGCCAGCGUCUCUUCAGCUGAAUACACCCUUCCCGUUCUCUCUCAACUGGACACUUCCUCCAUCUCUUACAGACGAGAAGUCAUUCGUUUCCCUUUUUAUCCCCCGCUGAGUAAAACCUCAGGAUGUUCAGCUGAGACAGGAUAUCCGAGGCCAGGACAGACUUACCCAAAUUAAUCUGGUCUCACCAAGGAGGCAGACAGGGCUCUUCCUGGUCCCAGUGUCCAGAUCCUCAGAGAGUUCAGGCCAAAGAGAGAAGUCUGCUCUUGGUCCCUGCGUGGUUGCCAAAACUGUUGACUGAAAAAAAUUUUGAAACACACAGCAUGAAAGCCGUGAUUUGGGGGCUUAUUCAGGGGCUUUACUGAGGACUGUAGCCUGGGAGAGAGCCUCUCAGAUUGCUCUGAGGAACUGCUCUGAAGAGCUAGGAGAAGAGCCAAUAUAGGCAUGAUUUUUUUUUUUUUUUUUUUUUUUUUGGCUGGGAAAAACAUGUAGUCAAGCAAACAUCUUGGUAAGAGAUUAUUGCUAAUCACAGAAAAACAGGUAUCUCAAAUUAAUGAUUUAAUGGCUUAUUUAUGUACGGGAAGGCGCAAGAAUCUGGGGUCAUCGAAAUUCUUGUGAUAUGCAUUAAACAUCUGGGGGCCUGCAUAUCCCAAACACAGAAUGAUUCAUGCCCUUUUCAUCCUGAAUUCCUUUCAGGGUAUACAGUAGGUCAGUGACUGGAGUGGCUAAAGACUCGAUCCUUGUAGAAUUGGAUCGGUGGGCAACAUUCUUCGUUUUACAGCCUUUGUCUAAUGGAAUCCGGGAAAGCAGUACAUGGCCUGCAGCCUGAGAACGUUCAGCAUCUAUGGUUAAGAUAAUAAGUACAAUACAAGUACAAUAAUCUUUUUAUAUUAGCGGCUUUUAUUUUAAAAACUGAACUCUUACCCCAUUUUAAAGAUGAGAAAACAGAGGCAACGUUUUUUCUGAACUCGCUUAAGUAGGACCAUAAACAAGAUGAGAACUGGAGCACUUCAGGUUAAGUAAAGUCAGUCGUGUGGACACACCUGCCUAGUCGCCUCCUCUUGCUUCCUGCCUCCCCUGGCACAGAUCACCUGAGACUCCUUGGUGGAGUCCUAGGGCCGGAUGGGCGGCAACCUACAAGAUGCCAUAGGAUCCCUCGGGUGCGAGACUUGGGUGAGAUGGUUCAUCUCACGCCGUCUCCGUGGAGAAGGGGAACCUGGGACGGUCUCCCAGGCUUCGGCUUUCACAUCCUCUGUUUCUUGGGUCUCCGGACAGGCAGGAGUUUGUGGAUGCUUAUGUGAAUUACGUCUUCCAAAUCUCCGUUGGCGAGUGGUACACAGCUUUCUCCAGCGGCUUCCUCAAGGUGUGUGGCGGCAAAGUGCUGGAGCUCUUCCAGCCUUCCGAACUGAGGGCCAUGAUGGUGGGGAACAGCAACUACAACUGGGAGGAACUGGAAGAGACCGCCGUCUACAAGGGUGACUACUCAGCCGCACAUCCCACGGUGAAACUGUUUUGGGAAACAUUUCACGAGUUCCCUUUGGAAAAGAAGAAGAAGUUUCUCCUGUUCCUCACGGGCAGCGACCGGAUUCCCAUCUACGGCAUGGCCAGCCUGCAGAUUGUCAUCCAGUCCACAGCCAGCGGGGAGGACUACUUGCCUGUGGCCCACACGUGCUACAACCUUCUCGACCUGCCCAAGUACAGCAGCAAAGAGGUCCUGCGCGCCCGGCUGACCCAGGCCCUUGACAACUACGAGGGGUUCAGUCUGGCCUGAGGCUCCGCAGCCUGCCCCCCGAUUUCCCUUCCUUCCUCACCGUCCACAUCGAGGCCCAUACCAUACAGAAAAUCAUGGGGAGUGAGUUCUAUUUUUUUAUGGUCCAAGUGGGUUGCAGCUUUGGAAUCCUGAACCCGAUGGGUGAGUGUCUGGGGUGGCAAGCAGUAACCUUUUGGAAAAAUCAGGGGUUGGGGAUGGGGGUGACAGAUGGGCCCUGGAAUGGGAGGUGUUUUUGUUUUUCAGCCAAAUCCCCCAGGUUCCUUGCACUCGUGGCCGUGUUGCACUCUGCUGGAUAAAAUGCCAGUGGAUUUUGACACUCCCGUUUCCCCAGUGUCUCUCUCAGCCCUGAUCUCUCCUCACCAAGCUUCCUUGCCCUUGGCUCCUCCCUUCUCCCUCCUCUGCAAGAGCAAUCAGACCCUCCCGUCCUUGCCCACCUGCACAUGCAGGACGUCCUUCUCUGCAGCCUUGGCAGUGCUCCCAGCUCGUUGCCGCCCAGCCAUAAGGACUAAGGCGGAAAGGACUCCUUCAGAAAUUCCCAAGUCCAGCAGGCUGAAUCGGGAUCCAUUACUCUGGCGGAACUCGUGAGAAUUUGUUGGAGAAUUUAAUUUAAAAAAAAAAAAUCCUUGCUUUAAAAAAAAAAAAAAAAAGUUGUCGAGGGACUAGCCGUCUCCCUCUGGCUCUGCCUGUUCCCGGCUCCCCUUAAAGGCGUGCAGAGCCUCUUAGAUUUGCAGCUGAGCCAGAUUUUGUCUGGUUACUCCGCCGAGCCUUUUGACAAUAAGACGAGGUAACAGGCCCCCACCCCCUCCCAUCACUGUGCUUUUGGAGCAAGUUGCGUUCAUUUUUUAAGGAGUAAUUCCUCCCAGAAAAGUAGAAAUAAUAAAUUUCUUAUCCUGUUCCCUGUCACUUCCUGCCUCUACCACUGUCCCCCCCCCCCUUCUCUCUUCCCCUCAUCCCAUUCUUGGUGACCUGACUCUGUCCCCUUCCUCUCCGCUCCUUCUAGUGGAUGCAUGCGGUCUGCUUUAGUUUUUAUUUCUAUUUAAAUUGCAAAAUUUCUACUCAGAUUUUUUUUUUUUCUCCUCUUCCCUAACGGUUAAGACUCAAGGACAUUCUUUAUUAUGGAACUUUUGUUUUAUUGCAUUUGAAAUGUUUGUUUACAGUGGGAUUUCGGAGGGGGGGGAUUGUGUUUAAAGCAAAUAUAUGUAUUUCAAGAAUCAUGACAUGCUCACCUUCUUCACCACGGAUAAGAACAUGCUACAUGAGCAAAGAAUCUAUGUCCGCCUAAUUCCUAGUCACUAGAGAAGAGACUUAUUUAUAUAAAACGAAGUAUUUAUGAACCGUGAGACAGCAUCAAAUCUCAAUGAAGGAUUGUAGAUUUCUGCUUUUUCUUUUUGUUUUUAAAACUUAUUCCAAUUGCUAAAUUGGUAGUUUUUCAGUCUUUAUAAUACAAGAUUAAAAAAAAAGAUAUACUGUUAUACGAAAUGUUUAUUUUCUAUGUGUGUGCAUAUAGUUCACUAUUAUGCAAUAAAUUUGGUGUUUUAACGUAAC